This 468-nucleotide ribosomal RNA is filed under the name uncultured bacterium. Its description in RNAcentral is "bacterial SSU rRNA". It matches the Rfam family "Bacterial small subunit ribosomal RNA", at positions 8 to 507 of the family's 1533-position model. The record is from RNAcentral.
AGAGUUUGAUCAGUGGCUCAGAGCGAACGCUAGCGGCGGGCUUAACACAUGCAAGUCGAGCGGAGAGCUUCGGCUCUCAGCGGCGAACGGGUGAGUAACACGUAGGUAACGUGCCCUUUGAUGGGGAAUAACCUAGGGAAACCUGGGCUAAUACCGCAUAUGUCCUUCGGGAUGAAAGCCUUCGGGCGUCAGAGGAUCGGCCUGCGGCCCAUUAUUUAAUCCUAGUUGGUAGGGUAAUGGCCUACCAAGGGUACGAUGGGUAGCUGGUCUGAGAGGAUGAUCAGCCACACUGGAACUGAGACACGGUUCAGACUCCUACGGGAGGCAGCAGUGGGGAAUAUUGGACAAUGGGCGAAAGCCUGGUCCAGCCACGCCGCGUGGGUGAUGAAGGCCUUCGGGUUGUAAAGCCCUGUCGGGAGGGACGAAUCAAUGACGGUACCUCCCAAGAAAGCACCGGCUAACUCCGUG